AAGAGUGGAAAAACUCCCUUGACGGUACUUAAUGAAUAAGCCCUGGCUAAUUAUGUGCCAGCAGCCGCGGUAAUACAUAAGGGGCGAGCGUUAUCCGGAAUUAUUGGGCGUAAAGGGUGCGUAGGCGGUUUAAUAAGUCUAUAGUUUAAUUUCAGCGCUUAACGCUGUUGCGCUAUAGAAACUGUUUUACUAGAGUGAGUUAGAGGCAAGCGGAAUUCCAUGUGUAGCGGUAAAAUGCGUAAAUAUAUGGAGGAACACCAGAGGCGUAGGCGGCUUGCUGGGACUUUACUGACGCUGAGGCACGAAAGCGUGGGGAGCAAACAGGAUUAGAUACCCUGGUAGUCCACGCCGUAAACGAUGAGUACUAAGUGUCGGGUAAAACCGGUACUGAAGUUAACACAUUAAGUACUCCGCCUGAGUAGUACGUACGCAAGUAUGAAACUUAAAGGAAUUGACGGGACUCCGCACAAGCGGUGGAUCAUGUUGUUUAAUUCGAAGAUACACGAAAAACCUUACCAGGUCUUGACAUUUUCUUGCGAAGUUAUAGAAAUAUAAUGGAGGUUAUCAGGAAAACAGGUGGUGCAUGGUUGUCGUCAGCUCGUGUCGUGAGAUGUUAGGUUAAGUCCUAAAACGAGCGCAACCCUUGUCGUUAAUUGCCAGCAUGUAAUGAUGGGGACUUUAACGAGACUGCCAAUGAAAAAUUGGAGGAAGGUGGGGAUUACGUCAAAUCAUCAUGCCCCUUAUGAUCUGGGCUACAAACGUGAUACAAUGG
This 772-nucleotide ribosomal RNA is filed under the name Cassava frogskin disease phytoplasma. RNAcentral's name for it is "bacterial SSU rRNA". It matches the Rfam family "Bacterial small subunit ribosomal RNA", at positions 445 to 1233 of the family's 1533-position model. The record is from RNAcentral. Lineage: Bacteria; Bacillati; Mycoplasmatota; Mollicutes; Acholeplasmatales; Acholeplasmataceae.